AGAAGAGACGCAUUUAUUAGAUAAAAAGCCAAUGCAUGCUUUUACAGUAUGGAAAUUGGUGAUUUAUAAUAACUUAGCAAAUCGCAAAGUGAAAACAGGCGAUAAAUCAUUCAAGUUUCUGACCUAUCAGCUUUCGACGGUAUGGUAUUGGCUUACCGUGGCAGUGACGGUUAACGGGGGAUUAGGGUUCGAUUCCGGAGAGGGAGCCUGAGAAACGGCUACCACAUCUAAGGAAGGCAGCAGGCGCGCAAAUUACCCAAUUCUAACAGUUUGAGAGAGGUAGUAACAAGAAAUAACAAUACAAGGCAAUUAAAAUGCUUUGUAAUUGGAAUGAUAGAAAUUUAAACCCUUUUUAAAGUAUCAAUUGGAGGGCAAGUCUGGUGCCAGCAGCCGCGGUAAUUCCAGCUCCAAUAGCGUAUAUUAAAAUUGUUGCAGUUAAAAAGCUCGUAGUUGAAGUUCUGCUAAAAGUAACCGGUCUGCUUUUAAUAAAAGUGGUAUCUUGGUGUGUAUUUAGCAAUGAUGUCCUUUGAAGUGUUUUUUACUUUAUUGUAAUAAAGCAUAUUCAGGACUUUUACUUUGAGAAAAUUAGAGUGUUUCUAGCAGGCCGACGCUUUGAAUACUGCAG
This 625-nucleotide ribosomal RNA is filed under the name Hepatozoon canis. RNAcentral describes it as "bacterial SSU rRNA". It matches the Rfam family "Eukaryotic small subunit ribosomal RNA", at positions 194 to 807 of the family's 1831-position model. Lineage: Eukaryota; Apicomplexa; Hepatozoidae. The record is from RNAcentral.